This 468-nucleotide ribosomal RNA is filed under the name uncultured bacterium. Its description in RNAcentral is "partial 16S ribosomal RNA". It matches the Rfam family "Bacterial small subunit ribosomal RNA", at positions 28 to 507 of the family's 1533-position model. The record is from RNAcentral.
GACGAACGCUGGCGGCGUGCUUAACACAUGCAAGUCGAACGGAGAGGCCCUGCUUUUGUGGGGUGCUCGAGUGGCGAACGGGUGAGUAACACGUGAGUAACCUGCCCUUUACUUUGGGAUAACUUCAGGAAACAGGGGCGAAUACCGGGUAUGAGAUCCUGCAACAUGGUGUGGGUUGGAGAAUUUCGGCGGUUGGGGAUGGACUCGCGGCUUAUCAGCUUGUUGGUGGGGUAGUGGCUUACCAAGGCUUUGACGGGUAGCCGGCCUGAGAGGGUGACCGGCCACAUUGGGACUGAGAUACGGCCCAGACUCCUACGGGAGGCAGCAGUGGGGAAUAUUGCACAAUGGGCGGAAGCCUGAUGCAGCAACGCCGCGUGCGGGAUGACGGCCUUCGGGUUGUAAACCGCUUUCGCCUGUGACGAAGCGUGAGUGACGGUAAUGGGUAAAGAAGCACCGGCUAACUACGUG